UCCCUUGUAGCUCAGUUAGUAAAGAAUCUGCCUGCAAUGCAGGAGACCCAGGUUCAAUUCUUGGGUUGGGAA
Molecule: transfer RNA, 72 nt
Filed under: Capra hircus (goat)
Lineage: Eukaryota; Metazoa; Chordata; Mammalia; Artiodactyla; Bovidae
Also listed under: 1 other name
Rfam family: tRNA
About the family: Transfer RNA (tRNA) molecules are approximately 80 nucleotides in length.
Source: Rfam by way of RNAcentral